Molecule: small nuclear RNA, 148 nt
Organism: Callithrix jacchus (white-tufted-ear marmoset)
Lineage: Eukaryota; Metazoa; Chordata; Mammalia; Primates; Cebidae
Gene: U2
Rfam family: U2 spliceosomal RNA
About the family: U2 is a small nuclear RNA (snRNA) component of the spliceosome (involved in pre-mRNA splicing). Complementary binding between U2 snRNA (in an area lying towards the 5' end but 3' to hairpin I) and the branchpoint sequence (BPS) of the intron results the bulging out of an unpaired adenosine, on the BPS, which initiates a nucleophilic attack at the intronic 5' splice site, thus starting the first of two transesterification reactions that mediate splicing.
Source: Ensembl
GCCACUGUGCCCAGCCUUUUGGCUAAGAUCAAGUGUAGUAUCUGUUCUUAUCAGUUUAAUAUUUACUUAUUUUUAUUGUACUUUAGGUUCUCGGGCACAUGUGCAGAUCAUGAAGGGUUGUUGCAUAGGUACUUACAUGACAAGUUGG